GUGUUUAUUUUGGCAGCACAUAUACUAAAAUUGCAACAAUAAGAGAUUAGCAUGGCUCCACACAAGAAUGGCAUGCAAACUCAUAAAGCAUUCCAUAUUUUU
Molecule: non-coding RNA, 102 nt
Organism: Erinaceus europaeus (western European hedgehog)
Lineage: Eukaryota; Metazoa; Chordata; Mammalia; Eulipotyphla; Erinaceidae
Source: Rfam